CCAGCCUCUUAUAUCACAAGGUAUCAUGAAGAAAACCAGCAAUACGAGCCUUCUCCUGAAUGAGCCACCAAGGAUGGACAGGAUGGAGAUCAGCAGAAGAAUAUUAGACCUCACCUUGGAGAUCAUCUCCCUGCUGAGCGGAGAGGAGUACACAAUAGUGAAAAAGACAUUGGG
Bufo gargarizans (Asiatic toad) is the source of this 174-nucleotide long non-coding RNA. RefSeq lists it as uncharacterized. NCBI's taxonomy places the organism in Eukaryota, Metazoa, Chordata, Amphibia, Anura, Bufonidae. The record is from RefSeq and is a predicted model, not a curated record. The transcript has 3 exons.